GACGUAGGGGGCGAGCGUUGUCCGGAUUUAUUGGGCGUAAAGAGCGCGUAGGCGGUCCGGAAAGUCGGAUGUGAAAACCCGGGGCUCAACCCCGGGCCUGCAUCCGAUACUCCCGGACUGGAGGCAGGUAGGGGAGAUCGGAAUUCCUGGUGUAGCGGUGAAAUGCGCAGAUAUCAGGAGGAACACCGGUGGCGAAGGCGGAUCUCUGGGCCUGUCCUGACGCUGAGGCGCGAAAGCUAGGGGAGCGAACAGG
RNAcentral lists this ribosomal RNA (253 nucleotides) under uncultured bacterium. Its description in RNAcentral is "partial 16S ribosomal RNA". It matches the Rfam family "Bacterial small subunit ribosomal RNA", at positions 524 to 776 of the family's 1533-position model. RNAcentral also lists the same sequence under 1 other name. The record is from RNAcentral.